CACACAAUUGAUCUGUUUUGGAAAUAUCUUGAGUAGUAUCAAACAAAAUGGAAUAAAACGGUGCAGUGACUAUUUCAUUUACCAGAGCAUUUUCCACUUUUUGAACCAGAACAGCAAUGAACUCAUUUUGUAUUUUUGGACUUAAGUAUUUAAUCUGGCCCUUAGAUUUGUUUAGCAACUCUUGUAAAAUAGGAUCGUAUUUGGCUAAUAACUCAACAAUACUCAAAAAAUUUCCUUUUGGACCAGAAUCGUUGCCAUAUACCGUUUCUUUAUGGCCACGAAAAGCUAAAUUACAGGUUGAAAGUGUCAAAGUAACAUCAAGGAGUAUAGGGAGUACCUGGCGCCAAAAAAAUUUUUCUCUCUUGAUAAUGACUCUUGCUCUUCAUCUAAUGUUCCAUGUAACUGCCCCUCUUGAUGUACAAAACAUGAAUGCAAAAGUUCUUUCUAUGUCUCAUGUCUUUCUAUGGCUUCCACAAUAUGUUUCCAAUCAUCAUAGCCUUCCAUCCAAAUAUUUUGUAUAUUUUUAGAUGCCCUAUUUGCGAAUAACCAACAUGGUUCACAAUAUGCUUUUUGAAGCAAUAGAGAAUAGGACAGCCAUGUACGUUCUAACUUUACGCCAGAUUUAGAAACAGUGUAAUAAUAUUUAUCUAAGAGAGAGCCCUUAAAAAGGGGCCUUUUGGUUUACAGUGUCCGUUUUCGAUCACAAACCGUUUUACUUGAUCAUUGAGUUUUUUAAAGUUACCUUUAUCAGUAACAUGCGGUAAAGAUUUUAAUUUUUCUAUGUCCAAACAUGAUUCAUUUAAAGAUUUGCUCGUACCUGGUUGUGGUUGCUCUGAAUCUAAAUAUUCACUGUUAUGGGGCCCUACGAUAUUGCCACUUAUGUCAUCAUUUUCUGCCUUUCCGUCGCGCUGUUCAUUUGAUUCUUCUUGUAUACUAUCUUGAUUAUUAAAGUACUGACUUAUUUUAGGUAACUUUUUAUUUUGUUCUUUAGACUCCUUCUUUCGCUUCCACUCUGAUACUUUCUAGAACAAAACCGCAAAAAGUUUGUAAUAAUACUAUAGUUUUUAUUUAUUGAAAAAUCUACUUAAUUGCUAACAAAUGCCAAAAAAGCGACCGUAAAAAUGUUUAUUACGAAAGUCCACCGAUUGUUCAAAGUUCAAUUCAAGUGUCAAAAUUUGUAAGUUUUGAAAGAACGAUGAACAUAGGUACCGAAAUAGUUUUGGUGGUUACGAAUGUCAAAAUAGUGAAAUGAUUUUGAAAUGCGCAAUGAGAAUCAUUUAUGGUAUUCAGAGUUUACUUUUAAAGUUAAUAGGUAGCAACUUUAACAAUGUAACACAUUCAAACUGUGAGCAACCCUUCAAACAGCUGAUUCGAACUGUCAAAAAUUGUGUAGCUACAAAAAUAUUGACAUGUAAGCAAUGCCUCGCAGAAGUGGAAAAGAAAAAUUACUAAACGGACUGUGCUUAAAAAACAUGUUUUAAUUGCUGCUCCAAGAUUCAAGCAGUGAAGAUGAGGACUGCGAUAUUCUAAUGGACUUUAAUGUUAGUGCAGCAAUAAUUUUGUCCUCAAGAAGAUGCAGCGACGUAAAUGUGCCAAAAUCUACUAAUUGGAUUGACACAAUCCUUCCCAACUUCGAUAACAAUCGUAUGCGGCAAAUGUUAUGACUGGAAACUCCGGAAUUUCAACAUAUUUUAAGCUUAAUCAAAGAAGAUACUGCUUUUAAAAAUAAAAAUUCGGUUCCUCAAAUGCCAGUGGAAUUGCAAUUAAAGAUCGCACUUUUCCGUUUUGGUUCUAGUGGGGAUAGUGCAUCCAUCAGAAAGGUUGCAAACUUGUUUGGAGUUGGAGAUGGAGGAACUGUGAUUACAGUUACAGACCGCAUUAUUUCUGCCAUCGUAAAUUUGAAAUCUAAGUUUUUGUGUUGGCCAACUAGGGAAGAAAGACGCAAACUUUGUCGGAAUCUCCAAUUGAGGAUCAUGAAUUCUAUUUUUCCAGGAAAAAACAGUAUUCCAUGAAAAUGCAAAUAGUGUGCGACUAUUCUUUGAGAAUUCGACAAGCAACAAUUGGAUAUAGGGGCAGUGUACAUGAUACUAAAAUUUUUGCAGAAUCAGCUAUUGGACGAGCACCUGGAAAUUAUUUUUGAGAAAGGCAAUGGAUAGCCGGUGAUUCUGCGUAUCCCUUAAAUAGAAAUAUAAUUAUACCUUUUCGGCAAAAUGGCAACGAACUGUCGCAAUAUAAAAGGGAUAGGUUCAACAAAUACUUUUCUAAAUAUCGAGUACGAGUAGAAAAUUGUUUCGGCAAAUUAAAAGAAAGAUUUAGCAGCUUAAAAGAGCUUCGGUUUCGAUUGUCCAACGAAAAUAAUUACAAGAGCUGUUGCAGAUGGAUUUUAGCCUGCAGCAUUUUGCAUAAUAUAUUGCAAGACUUUAACAAUGACGACGAUAAUAGCUGUGAUGAGGAAGAAAUUGAUUAUCCUCCAGAAAUUUAUGAACAACACGAAUUACGAAUUGCAUUGGCUGAAUUUAUUAAUAAUAGGAGCUCCCAAUAAAAGUUUCUAAGUGAUUUUUUUUUAAUUUUUAGAACUAAAUGUGUUUUUUUUAACCAAAUACCAUUUAGUUGUAAAGACAAUUAUCUUAAUAUUUAAAGGAAGAGUUCCAAUGUAAUUAAUAAAUAGAGUAGUAAUUUUUGGUCUAUCCUCGGAAUGGGUUGAAAAUUGUAAAGUACAGAAAAUAAAAACCGCCAAAGAAUA
Bactrocera tryoni is the source of this 2743-nucleotide long non-coding RNA. RefSeq lists it as uncharacterized. The transcript is spliced from 2 exons. NCBI's taxonomy places the organism in Eukaryota, Metazoa, Arthropoda, Insecta, Diptera, Tephritidae. The record is from RefSeq and is a predicted model, not a curated record.